RNAcentral lists this ribosomal RNA (450 nucleotides) under uncultured bacterium. RNAcentral describes it as "partial 16S ribosomal RNA". It matches the Rfam family "Bacterial small subunit ribosomal RNA", at positions 354 to 796 of the family's 1533-position model. The record is from RNAcentral.
GUGGGGAAUUUUGGACAAUGGGCGCAAGCCUGAUCCAGCAAUGCCGCGUGCAGGAAGAAGGCCUUCGGGUUGUAAACUGCUUUUGUACGGAACGAAACGGUCCUGGUUAAUACCUGGGGCUAAUGACGGUACCGUAAGAAUAAGCACCGGCUAACUACGUGCCAGCAGCCGCGGUAAUACGUAGGGUGCGAGCGUUAAUCGGAAUUACUGGGCGUAAAGCGUGCGCAGGCGGUGCUGUAAGACAGGCGUGAAAUCCCCGGGCUCAACCUGGGAAUUGCGCUUGUGACUGCAGUGCUGGAGUGCGGCAGAGGGGGAUGGAAUUCCGCGUGUAGCAGUGAAAUGCGUAGAUAUGCGGAGGAACACCGAUGGCGAAGGCAAUCCCCUGGGCCUGCACUGACGCUCAUGCACGAAAGCGUGGGGAGCAAACAGGAUUAGAUACCCCAGUAGUCC